Molecule: ribosomal RNA, 1185 nt
Filed under: Triticum aestivum (bread wheat)
Lineage: Eukaryota; Viridiplantae; Streptophyta; Magnoliopsida; Poales; Poaceae
Description: partial small subunit ribosomal RNA
Source: RNAcentral
AUGGCCGUCGACACCACCACCGCCGCGCCUUCCCACCCUGAAGGCGACGAAGGCGGUGAAGAGGCAGUGCGGCCGCUCCUCUCCGGCGCGCCCGCUGAGGUGGAGGAUGAGGAACUGGACAUCAGGUACGCGCCCUAUGCGCGCCGUGAUGCGUACGGGCCGAUGGGCCGCGGGCCGCUCUCUGCGGCGCAGGUGGCACGGUUAGUGCUGGCGGGCGUCGUUCUCCUCCCGCUCCGUCUCGUCGCAGGGGUGCUCCUGGUCGUCGCCUACUACCUCGUGUGCCGUGUGUGUACGCUGUUUGUGGGCGGAGUGGGAGAGGGCCGUCCCCGCCUACAGGGGUUGAGGAGGGAGGCCGUGCUGCGUGCUGGCCGCGUGUUGUCGCGGGCAAUGCUGUUCGUGUUCGGGUUCUACUGGAUCCCCGUGUCCGAUCGAAGCUUCCCCAAUGCCGAGGAUGUACCUAAAGAUCACUAUGAAGAACUGGAAAGACCAGGGGCGAUUGUAUCUAAUCAUGUGUCAUAUGUGGACAUUCUUUAUCAUAUGUCAGCUUCUUCUCCGAGUUUUGUUGCUAAGAACUCAGUGUCCAAGUUGCCGUUGAUUGGUCUCAUAAGCAAAUGUCUUGGGUGCAUUUUUGUUCAACGAGAAUCCAAAUGUUCAGAUUCUAAAGGUGUCUCAGGUGCUGUAACUGAAAGGCUCCAUGAGGUUUCACAAGACGAGAAUUCCCCUAUGAUCUUACUCUUUCCUGGUACAAAUCUGAGGAUACAUGAAUUGGGGGGAAAAGAAGGAAGAAGAACAGCAGCCGCCGCCGCCGAGGGUACUACUACGAAUGGGGAUUACCUUCUCCCAUUUAAGACAGGAGCCUUUCUUGCAAGGGCACCAUUGCAACCUGUAAUUUUGAGAUAUCCUUACAGGAGAUUUAGUCCAGCCUGGGACUCCAUGGAUGGGGCACGUCAUGUGUUUUUGCUCCUCUGUCAAUUUGCAAAUUACAUAGAGGUGGUUCGCUUGCCUGUAUACUAUCCUUCUGAGCAAGAAAAGCAGGAUCCUAGAGUCUAUGCCAACAACGUCAGAAAAUUGCUUGCGACUGAGGGUAAUUUAGUUCUGUCUAAUCUUGGGCUGGCUGAAAAGCGUGUGUAUCAUGCGGCACUUAAUGGUAAUAGUCCUCGUGCUCUGCAUCAGAAAGAUGAUUGA